GUUGAUUAACUAAUAAUUGGUGUGAUUUUCGCUUAAUAGGGAAUGAAGUUAAAGUCUUCAACUACCUCAGUAACCGUGAAGCAGACAAAAUCUCAAUAUGUCACUGCAUUUUUUGUGUGGGAAGACGAGAUGGAGGAAGAAGCAAAGUCGGGAUACCUGCCUUUUAUUUAAGUACUAU
RNAcentral lists this non-coding RNA (178 nucleotides) under Clostridium perfringens. RNAcentral also lists the same sequence under 1 other name. The record is from RNAcentral. Lineage: Bacteria; Bacillati; Bacillota; Clostridia; Eubacteriales; Clostridiaceae.